Molecule: ribosomal RNA, 496 nt
Filed under: fungal sp.
Lineage: Eukaryota; Fungi
Description: eukaryotic LSU rRNA
Rfam family: 5.8S ribosomal RNA (bases 138-291)
Source: RNAcentral
CGGGGCUCGAGUGCAACUCCACCCUGUGCAACGAACCAAACAGUUGCUUCGGCACGACGCCCCUCACCGGGCAGGCUGCCGAGGGCCUACAAACACCUGUAUUUUUGGCAUCUCUGAGUAACUUACCAAUAAGUUAAAACUUUCAACAACGGAUCUCUUGGUUCUGGCAUCGAUGAAGAACGCAGCGAAAUGCGAUACGUAAUGUGAAUUGCAGAAUUCAGUGAAUCAUCGAAUCUUUGAACGCACAUUGCGCCCGCCAGUAUUCUGGCGGGCAUGCCUGUUCGAGCGUCAUUUCAACCAUCAAGCCCCAGGCUUGUGUUGGGGCCCUGCGGCCGUCCGCAGCCCUCUAAAAGCAGUGGCGGGCUCGCUAUCACACCGAGUGCAGUAGUUUACUCUUCGCUCAGGGCGUGUGGCGGGUUCCAGCCGUUAAAACCCCUACUUCUUAAGGUUGACCUCGGAUCAGGUAGGAAUACCCGCUGAACUUAAGCAUAUCAAA